AGAGUUUUGAUCCUGGCUCAGGAUGAACGCUGGCGGCGUGCCUAAUACAUGCAAGUCGAGCGAACGGAUAAGGAGCUUGCUCCUUUGAAGUUAGCGGCGGACGGGUGAGUAACACGUGGGUAACCUACCUAUAAGACUGGAAUAACUUCGGGAAACCGGAGCUAAUGCCGGAUAACAUUUGGAACCGCAUGGUUCUAAAGUAAAAGAUGGUUUUGCUAUCACUUAUAGAUGGACCCGCGCCGUAUUAGCUAGUUGGUAAGGUAACGGCUUACCAAGGCAACGAUACGUAGCCGACCUGAGAGGGUGAUCGGCCACACUGGAACUGAGACACGGUCCAGACUCCUACGGGAGGCAGCAGUAGGGAAUCUUCCGCAAUGGACGAAAGUCUGACGGAGCAACGCCGCGUGAGUGAUGAAGGUUUUCGGAUCGUAAAACUCUGUUAUUAGGGAAGAACAAAUGUGUAAGUAACUGUGCACAUCUUGACGGUACCUAAUCAGAAAGCCACGGCUAACUAC
Molecule: ribosomal RNA, 515 nt
Filed under: Staphylococcus equorum
Lineage: Bacteria; Bacillati; Bacillota; Bacilli; Caryophanales; Staphylococcaceae
Description: bacterial SSU rRNA
Rfam family: Bacterial small subunit ribosomal RNA
Source: RNAcentral